This 430-nucleotide ribosomal RNA is filed under the name uncultured bacterium. RNAcentral's name for it is "bacterial SSU rRNA". It matches the Rfam family "Bacterial small subunit ribosomal RNA", at positions 79 to 544 of the family's 1533-position model. The record is from RNAcentral.
UUCGGGACGCCGGCGAGUGGCGAACGGGUGAGUAACACGUGGAGACCUGCCCUAGGGUGGGGGAUAACAGCUAGAAAUGGCUGCUAAUACCGCAUACGCCUUACGAGGGAAAGAUUUAUUGCCCCAGGAGGGUUCCGCGUCGGAUUAGCUUGUUGGUGGGGUAACGGCCUACCAAGGCGACGAUCCGUAGCUGGUCUUAGAGGAUGAUCAGCCACACUGGGACUGAGACACGGCCCAGACUCCUACGGGAGGCAGCAGUGGGGAAUAUUGCGCAAUGGGGGAAACCCUGACGCAGCGAUGCCGCGUGGGUGAAUAAGGCCUUAGGGUUGUAAAGCCCUUUCAGUGGGAACGAUGAUGACGGUACCCACAGAAGAAGCCCCGGCUAACUCCGUGCCAGCAGCCGCGGUAAUACGGAGGGGGCGAGCGUUGU